Molecule: ribosomal RNA, 624 nt
Filed under: uncultured Wolbachia sp.
Lineage: Bacteria; Pseudomonadati; Pseudomonadota; Alphaproteobacteria; Rickettsiales; Anaplasmataceae
Description: bacterial SSU rRNA
Rfam family: Bacterial small subunit ribosomal RNA
Source: RNAcentral
CCCGGAACUACGGAAUAACAUGAAGAAAUUUAUGCUAAUACCGUAUACGCCCUUUUGGGGAAAGAUUUAUUGGUUUCGGAUGAGCCCGCGUUGGAUUAGCUUGUUGGUAGGGUAAUGGCCUACCAAGGCGACGAUCCAUAGCUGGUCUGAAAGGAUGAUCAGCCACACUGGGACUGAGACACGGCCCAGACUCCUACGGGAGGCAGCAGUGGGGAAUAUUGGACAAUGGGCGCAAGCCUGAUCCAGCCAUGCCGCGUGAGUGAUGAAGGCCUUAGGGUUGUAAAGCUCUUUCACCGGUGAAGAUAAUGACGGUAACCGGAGAAGAAGCCCCGGCUAACUUCGUGCCAGCAGCCGCGGUAAUACGAAGGGGGCUAGCGUUGUUCGGAUUUACUGGGCGUAAAGCGCACGCAGGCGGAUAUUUAAGUCAGAGGUGAAAUCCCGGGGCUCAACCCUGGAAUUGCCUUUGAUACUGGGUAUCUGGAGUACAGAAGAGGUAAGUGGAAUUCCGAGUGUAGAGGUGAAAUUCGUAGAUAUUCNGAGGAACACCAGUGGCGAANGCGGCUUACUGGUCUGUUACUGACGCUGAGGUGCGAAAGCGUGGGGNGCAAACAGGAUUAGAUACCC